Molecule: non-coding RNA, 29 nt
Filed under: Mus musculus (house mouse)
Lineage: Eukaryota; Metazoa; Chordata; Mammalia; Rodentia; Muridae
Source: RNAcentral
UCCUCUAAUUUUGGUUGGCCAUGUGUACC